Molecule: transfer RNA, 118 nt
Filed under: Daphnia pulex (common water flea)
Lineage: Eukaryota; Metazoa; Arthropoda; Branchiopoda; Diplostraca; Daphniidae
Rfam family: tRNA
About the family: Transfer RNA (tRNA) molecules are approximately 80 nucleotides in length. Their secondary structure includes four short double-helical elements and three loops (D, anti-codon, and T loops).
Source: Rfam by way of RNAcentral
GCCUUCUUAGCUCAGUGGUAGAGCGUUGGUCUCGUAAACAAUCUGUGAUGUGUAUGUUAUAAUUAUCACAGCAAUCCAAGCAAACCAAAGGUCGAGAGUUCAAUCCUCUCAGGAGGCA